UGUAAACACAUUUGUGCACAACAUUUGAGAGAAAUAAACUUUGUUUUUUUUUGUGCUGAAUGGAACAUUUGCGGGAUCUUGUAUUUCAGCUCAUGAAACGUGGAACCGACACUUUACAUGUUGCGUUUAUAUUUUUGUUCGGUAUAUGUGGAUUAAGAGCUUCAUGAUUCAUGUAUUCUAUUCAUACAGCAGAUGGAACCCUCUCACACUUAUUGAGCCAUGAUCCAGUUCCGUGUUUCCGUUUAACUUGGUCCCCUCUUCUUGCCCGAGGAGGCGUCACCACAGCCCGCCUGCAUCGCUCUGCGCUCCGCUCCACUUAUCCGAAUCUGAUCUCGUCUGAGCAUCCACUUCCAAAUUGGGUUGUCAUUUUUUUGACCCCUUUGCUCUUCCCGCGAACAGGUCAACGUGCUCUCUACGUGGACGUUUUUGAAGACCGCUAAGAGAGAGGGAGAGAGCUGAGAGAGAUACAGAAAGAGACAGAUCUGAGAGAGAGAGAGAGAGAGAGAGAGAGAGAGAGAGCUGGCUUCGUGGAUCUUUAGCUAUAGUGUUCCCGUCCUCUCUCCCAAUACUGGACUCGUUGCGUUGGGGUCUGUACCCCUCACCGGUGGCGUUCUGUGAACAGUGAUCUGGAUACUAAACACCGAGCCUUCGAAAGGUUGUCCGUUAGCUCAUGUUACAAUCAAGAACUGCGAAGACUAUAUCGUUUAAGCGUUUUUUUUUUGUUACAAGAGGAAUCAUAAUUUACCUUAACGAUAUAAAAGCAUCGCUGACUUGGAAUCAAAUUGCUUAAUUUUUCAUUCAUUUGAGGGGAUUUUUUUGCUUCCAAGCAAGAACUCUGGACUGUUACAAGGGAGACGACGGUUAUUGUAAAGACACUGCGCUUUCAAUGCCUGGAUCUGUGCGCGACCAUUGCCGCAGCUUCGUGUGAGAUGUGGUACUGAGUCAGGAGUUUCUCAACCCUAACCUAUACCAUUAAAGGGGAAGGACAUACAACUGUUCCAGGAGUUCCUCAACCCUAACCUAUACCAUUAAAGGGGAAGGACAUACAACUGUUCCAGGAGUUCCUCAACCCUAACCUAUACCAUUAAAGGGGAAGGACAUACAACUGUUCCUAGAUUUUCUCAAGCUCUGUUGUUAGAUGGGGAGCGGCGGUGAACAGCAAUCUUCAAGUCUUUCCACAUAUUUUCAAUGGGAUUCAAGUCUGGGCUGCGGCUGGGCCACUCAAGGACCUUCACAUUGUUGUUCUGCUCCAGUGAUGCUGUGGUUGUAUGCUUGGUGGUCAUUGUCCUGUUGGAAUGCACAUCUUCACCCAAAACCUGUCGUUUGCCCUCAGAAAACCAGGCACAGGUCAUCACCCUUAUAACCCCAUCCCUACCGUGAAGCCUGUGCCGCUGAAAAACAUCCCCAUAACAUGAUGCUGCCGCCACCACCAUGCUUCACGGUGGGGAUGGUGUUAUAAGGGUGAUGACCUGCAGACAUAGCGCUUUGCAUUCAGGCCAACGAGUAACAUUUUUGUCUCAUUAGACCACAGAAUAUUUUGUUCAGGUUCUCAUCAAGGAUUUGCCUGUAUUUGGCUCCAUUCGUUGUUCCCUCUAUCCUUACCAGUCCCUGCCUCUGAACAGCAUCCCCAUAACAUGAUGCUGCCGCCACCACCUUGCUUCACGGUGGGGAUGGUGUUAUAAGGGUGAUGACCUGUGCCUGGUUUUCUGCGGACAUAGCGCUUUGCAUUUCAGGCCAAAGAUUGUUUCUUUCUAAAUCAUGUCCAAAACAAUCAAGUUGUAGUGGAUGAUCAAAGGAUUUUAGAUGCACCUGAGCCCAUAACAAAGUGGUGUGAAUACUUAUGUAAAUGAUAUAUUUCUGAAUUUAAUUUUCAUAAAAUUUGCACCAAAUUACAAAAAAAAACAUGUUUUCGCUUUUGUUAUUAUGCGGUAUUGUGUGUAGAUGCAUGAGAAAAAAAACAUAUUUAAUCCAUU
This is a long non-coding RNA of Oncorhynchus tshawytscha (Chinook salmon), 1973 nucleotides long. RefSeq lists it as uncharacterized. The transcript is spliced from 3 exons. The record is from RefSeq and is a predicted model, not a curated record. Lineage: Eukaryota; Metazoa; Chordata; Actinopteri; Salmoniformes; Salmonidae.